GAUGAAGAACGCAGCGAAAUGCGAUAAGUAGUGUGAAUUGCAGAAUUCAGUGAAUCAUCGAAUCUUUGAACGCACAUUGCGCCUUCUAGUAUUCCGGAAGGCAUGCCUGUUCGAGAGUCAUUAACAACCGUUUCGAUCCCUUUCUUUCAGAAAUUACAAAGAGGAAAAGGGUUUGGUUAUGGUGGAGGAGGGAAAGGGAGCGUUUAGCCUGUAAAAAAAGAGGCUGUGUUCCGCCUCCCCCCCAAAAUUGUACAGGCGGUCGUGUGCGCCCACGCAUCGAGGUGUUGUAAAAGCUGCCACGGCACUUUUCACCUGUGCAGUGCGAGAUUGGCCAGCCGGUUUAAAAACCCCUCCAAACAAUCAAAGGUUGACCUCGGAUCAGGUAGGGAUACCCGCUGAACUUAAGCAUAUCAAUAAGCGGAGGA
This 425-nucleotide unclassified non-coding RNA is filed under the name soil metagenome. Its description in RNAcentral is "partial contains 5.8S ribosomal RNA, internal transcribed spacer 2, and large subunit ribosomal RNA". The stretch from base 1 to 120 matches the Rfam family "5.8S ribosomal RNA", at positions 35 to 154 of the family's 154-position model. The record is from RNAcentral.